This 216-nucleotide ribosomal RNA is filed under the name uncultured Glomus. RNAcentral's name for it is "partial small subunit ribosomal RNA". It matches the Rfam family "Eukaryotic small subunit ribosomal RNA", at positions 569 to 787 of the family's 1831-position model. The record is from RNAcentral. Lineage: Eukaryota; Fungi; Glomeromycota; Glomeromycetes; Glomerales; Glomeraceae.
AGCAGCCGCGGUAAUUCCAGCUCCAAUAGCGUAUAUUAAAGUUGUUGCAGUUAAAAAGCUCGUAGUUGAAUUUCGGGAUCAGUUCGCUGGUCGUGCCUCUGGUAUGUACUGGUGUUUCUGGUUCCUCCCUUCUGAAGAACUGUCAUGUCAUUAAUUUGGUGUUGCGGGGAAACAGGACUGUUACUUUGAAAAAAUUGGAGUGUUUAAAGCAGGCUA